RNAcentral lists this ribosomal RNA (437 nucleotides) under uncultured bacterium. RNAcentral's name for it is "bacterial SSU rRNA". It matches the Rfam family "Bacterial small subunit ribosomal RNA", at positions 28 to 477 of the family's 1533-position model. The record is from RNAcentral.
GAUGAACGCUGGCGGCGUGCUUAACACAUGCAAGUCGAACGAUUGAAGCUGGAGCUUGCUCCGGCCGAUUUAGUGGCGGACGGGUGAGUAACGCGUGGGUAACCUGCCUCAUACAGGGGGAUAGCAGUUGGAAACGACUGGUAAAACCGCAUAAGCGCACGGUAUCGCAUGAUACAGUGUGAAAACACUCCGGUGGUAUGAGAUGGACCCGCGUCUGAUUAGCUAGUUGGUGAGGUAACGGCCCACCAAGGCGACGAUCAGUAGCCGGCCUGAGAGGGUGAACGGCCACAUUGGGACUGAGACACGGCCCAAACUCCUACGGGAGGCAGCAGUGGGGAAUAUUGCACAAUGGGGGAAACCCUGAUGCAGCGACGCCGCGUGAGUGAUGAAGUAUUUCGGUAUGUAAAGCUCUAUCAGCAGGGAAGAUAAUGACGGUA